RNAcentral lists this long non-coding RNA (211 nucleotides) under Lathyrus oleraceus (garden pea). Its description in RNAcentral is "Pisum sativum (pea) long non-coding RNA (PSAT_LNC010402)". The record is from RNAcentral. Lineage: Eukaryota; Viridiplantae; Streptophyta; Magnoliopsida; Fabales; Fabaceae.
GAAUGCUCUGAUUCUUCUCUCGUCCGAGAAGAUACGUAUGCAUAGGAUGCGACAUCCUAGCGAGCAUGUGUCGUUUCCCCAGUCCGAACUACUUCGACUCUGAUGUCUAUGCCUGAUAGACUAAGUAGGCCCAGGAUGCGAUAUCCUGCCGAGUCAGUUUCAGUCAGUCUCUUUCGCUUCUUUCAGCCAGUGUGUGUGUGUUUUAGCAGUG